Homo sapiens (human) is the source of this 1626-nucleotide long non-coding RNA. Lineage: Eukaryota; Metazoa; Chordata; Mammalia; Primates; Hominidae. The record is from Ensembl.
GCUAUGAAGAGUUCUGUAGGUGACACAAAAGGAGUUUUUAAAAGGUAGAGAUGUAUAGAGAAGUUCUCAUCAAAACCUCAAGCUAUGUGGAGUUUUCCCAUUGACUAACGCUUAAGAUAUAUUGGAGUCAAAUGCUCAUAAAAUGCUCAUCAAUGCUUAUAAAAUAUUAAGAGUUGAAAUGGACUCUCUGUUCAUGCAGAUGAUGAGACCGAAACAGAGAGCUUCCAGGAGGAUCAAUGCCAUUCAAUGAGCUUGCUGCUGUACUCCCCUCUACACAAUAUGGAUAUAUCCCAUCCCAGCCCGAGACUGGCCAUACUAGUUCUAGUAACUGAGGCUUUCCUCCUACUUUCUCUGACGCCAAAGCAAAUUUGAUUUUGCAAGUGAGUGCCCUCACAUUUUAAAGCUCUGCUGAGAUUUAGAAAGGCACUCAGCAGUCAUCAUUCAUCAUGAAGUCACUCCCUCCCAGGCCACGUGGCUGACCCCAGACUUUCUAUUAACUGCACAAGCCUGGGCAACACAUGGAUAUUUGGCUCUGUAGUGAAGCAAAUUUAAAUUCUUGGUCUCCUUCCUCUCCUCCAGAAGUAUCUCACUGUGCACUUUGGGGGAACCUUUUGGUUCCCCCACAAUUUUCAAGGAUGACUUGGUAGUAAACGAACUUAUGGCUGGUUACUGAGACUUUCUACUGCUUGAAUUUCCCAGAAGGUUCUCUGCAAAGUUACUCACGCUUCAGCUCUUGUUCUGACAGUUUGGAUAAACCAUCUGAUAUGGCAUAUUACUCAUCAUCUUCAUAUAUAUAAUAAUAGAAAACGUGUCAAUUAAAAAAAUAUUUGAUUUUCUUCAGUCCUCAUUAGAGAACCAAGUUUUCUCUCAUAUUCGAUAAGAAUCUUGGAAGUGGGCCCUGGACUCUCAUUUCUGCAGCAUCUCCCAACCAUCUCUCAAGAAAACACCAGGCUCCCUACUCCCAUUGCACCUGUACCUGGACCUUGUGGACCCUCCAGAAGAUGAAGUCCAAUCCAGAAAGCCGUGAUCAUGCCACUUCUAAGAUGCUAAUGAUCCUGGGAGUUUUAGCCUUUUGUUGCCUGCUGCUGCGGUGUUUGAACCAUUCCAGUAAGCCAGCAACUUUGCAGGGACAAGGACAGAGCAUGCAAAGCAUGGAGGGAAAGUAGGAGUGUUUGUACCAUGAGUCUCUGCACACCCCUCAUCUUGGCUAUAGUAGACUGGACCACAGAUGGACACUGUACCAUGCAGAUUACUUCUUCCAGGAACUUGGAUUGAGACCAAGAGACUCAUGGCAUCCUCUUCUGGCUGCAAGACUUAUAUUUUUAUAUUUAGGCAAUAGAAGAGGGGCAGCAGAUGCCUACCUUGUGGAACAGAGGAAGGCAGGCAGUUCACAGAGAAAGAGGACUAGACAGUCGGACAGAGGGGAGCAGGCUUGGGAGCUUCGUGGAGCCAAUGUCCAUCUCUGUCCUUCCUUUCCACUCGAUGCUCCUGAGUCCCUGCCUUCAACCCCCGCUUGUUUGCUUAAACUGGUUUGAGUUUGUUUCUGCUGUUUGAAAAACAACAACAACAAAACCCCAAACAAAACAAACAUCAAACAAAAACCAAAACAAAACCAUUAACUCACUC